GCCUUUCUCAGGUGUAAUCCUAGCUACAAGGGAGGCUGAGGUUGGAAGAUCUCUUGAACUAGAGAGUUCUGAGCUUCAGUGGGCUAAUCCAACAGGGUGUCCACACUAAGUUAGACAUUAAUAUGGUGACUUUGUAGCAGUGGAAGGUAACCAGGUUGCCUAGGGAAGGGUGUACCAGCUCAGAUCUGAAAUAGAGCAGGUCAAGUCUCUGGUGUUGAUCAGACUGGGGCUUGCCCCUGAGUAGACCCUGCACUUCCAACCUGGGUGAGAUUGGAAGACCCAGUU
RNAcentral lists this signal recognition particle RNA (285 nucleotides) under Phascolarctos cinereus (koala). RNAcentral's name for it is "Metazoan signal recognition particle RNA (ENSPCIG00000001003.2)". It matches the Rfam family "Metazoan signal recognition particle RNA". From Rfam's summary of the family: The signal recognition particle (SRP) is a universally conserved ribonucleoprotein. It is involved in the co-translational targeting of proteins to membranes. Lineage: Eukaryota; Metazoa; Chordata; Mammalia; Diprotodontia; Phascolarctidae. The record is from Rfam by way of RNAcentral.